Zingiber officinale is the source of this 2047-nucleotide long non-coding RNA. RefSeq lists it as uncharacterized. The record is from RefSeq and is a predicted model, not a curated record. The transcript has 6 exons. Lineage: Eukaryota; Viridiplantae; Streptophyta; Magnoliopsida; Zingiberales; Zingiberaceae.
GCUAUAUGAUCUUCUUCUUUUUCGCCUUAUUUUGGCCUCUCUCUCGAUUUUCUUUGUUGAUUUUGGUUUAGCUUUUGGGUUUCGGUGCUGCAUCUCAUCACCCUAAAGUUCAAAUAACAUUCUAUCACUGUCUUCUUAUCUGUUGAAUAAUAGAAAUUUGAUUGUAUAUUUUUUUUCUAUUGAUAAGUCUAAUUUAGUAAUAGUUCAUUCGUGUAAGCUUUGCUUUUUAUUACAAAUUGUCAUGUUGGAUUAAAUUGAGGUGUUAAAUUUAUACUCAGUGGCCACAUAAGAGCUUUCGCCUUGCCAGGCUUGAGAGCUUGUGCUGCUCAAUUCUUCCUUGGAAGCCUGAGAAAGGUGUAUUUCCUUUUUUUUAUGAUCCUGAAUGUGAGUUUGAUCAAUUGAAUUUAGAGAUUUGGAAAUCUAUGGCUUUAGUCCUAUUUGUUCUUGUUUCCAAUGAUGACAAAUCCUAAGGCCUGUUUCUCAAAACAUUCGCAGUGGCCGCCUGAGAGCUUUCGCCUUGCCAGGCUUGAGAGCUUGUGCUGCUCAAUUCUUCCUUGGAUGUCUGAGGAAGGAAGUUGUAUUUUAUCCUAAUUGUGAUUGGAAUUUAUAACAAUUGAAUUGAUUGGGUUUGGAAUUUAUAGCUUUGUUGUUAUUUUUGCUUAAUUACUAUGAUGACAAAUUAUAGGCUUGUUUCUCAAAACAUUCACAGUUGCCGCCUGAGAGCUUUUGCCUUGCCAUGCUUGACAGCUUGUGUUGCUCAGUUUUUUCUUGGAUGUCUAAGAAAGUGGCCGCCUGAGAGCUUUCGCCUUGCCAGGCUUGAGAGCUUGUGCUGCUCAAUUCUUCCUUGGAUGUCUGAGGAAGGAAGUUGUAUUUUAUCCUAAUUGUGAUUGGAAUUUAUAACAAUUGAAUUGAUUGGGUUUGGAAUUUAUAGCUUUGUUGUUAUUUUUGCUUAAUUACUAUGAUGACAAAUUAUAGGCUUGUUUCUCAAAACAUUCACAGUUGCCGCCUGAGAGCUUUUGCCUUGCCAUGCUUGACAGCUUGUGUUGCUCAGUUUUUUCUUGGAUGUCUAAGAAAGUGGCCGCCUGAGAGCUUUCGCCUUGCCAGGCUCGAGAGCUUGUGCUGCUCAAUUCUUCCUUGGAUGUCUGAGGAAGGAAGUUGUAUUUUAUCCUAAUUGUGAUUGUGAUUUAUAACAAUUGAAUUGAUUGGGUUUGGAAUUUAUAUCUUUCUUGUUAUUUUUGCUUAAUUACUAUGCUGGCAAAUUAUAGGCUUGUUUCUCAAAACAUUCGCAGUUGCCGCCUGAGAGCUUUUGCCUUGCCAUGCUUGACAGCUUGUGCUGCUCAGUUCUUUCUUGGAUGUCUAAGAAAGUUGCCACCUGAGAGCUUUUGCCUUGCCAAGCUUGAGAGCUUGUGCUGCUCAAUUCUUCCUUGGAUGUCUGAGAAAGUGGCCGCCUGAGAGCUUUCGCCUUGCCAGGCUCGAGAGCUUGUGCUGCUCAAUUCUUCCUUGGAUGUCUGAGGAAGGGAAUUAUAUUUUAUCCUAAUUGUGAUUGUGAUUUAUAACAAUUGGAUUGAUUGGAUUUCGAAUUUAUAGCUUUGUUGUUAUUUUUGCUUAUUUUCUAUGAUCACAAAUUCUAAGCUUGUUUCUCAAAACAUUCGCAGUUGCCACCUGAGAGCUUUUGCCUUGCCAGGCUUGAGAGCUUGUGUUGCUCAAUUCUUCCUUGGGAUGUUUGAGAAAGGUGAAUUGUAAGCCUGUUUCGCAUUGGCUGCCUGAGAGCUUUCUCUUUGCCAGGCUUGAGAGCUUUUGCUGCUCAAUUCUUCCUUGGAUGUCUCAGGAUGGAAGUUGUAUUUUAUCCUAAUUGUGAUUUUCAUCAAUUAUGUCUUUUAUGGGUUUGUUGCUGUUUGUGUUUGUUUUCAUAUAUGUCAAUUAGCAAGGUAUUCUCAAAACAUUCUUAGUGGCCGCGUAAGAACUUUUGGCUUUACAGGCUCUAGAGUUUGUGCUGAAAGUGUUUCUCAUAAUGUUUUCAGUGCAGAAAGAACUUCUGAUUUUCUAA